AUGCAUGGACAGAUAUGUCCCCCAUGGAUCCCGGACUGAGAGACAGCGGGUGUGUAUCGUUAGGAAAGACAUGCAUCACGAUAUUUGACAUUGCAUCUCAUGGCAUUGCACAUUUUAUUAUUGAUGAACUUGAACAUGUGUUUUGCUGAUCUUGUGAUUGUUUCUCUGUGAAGUCUGUGAUUGUUGAAUAUUGAGUUGUUAUCGAGAAUGUGUAAACUGAUAGAGUGUGGUUAUUGAGUUGUGUGUUUGGUAAACUGUAACCUAUUAGACUGUAGCGUGGAGGUUUAGAUAUGGUGUAAGGAGUGCCCGUAUUUUGUUCACUUAACUUGUGUUUAGAGGUUUGCUUGUUGGGUACCGCGUGGUUUGGUACUCACCCCUUGCUUCUACAAAUUUUUGUAGGAUACGAGCCUGGAUCAUCGUGAUACUUGUCAUUCUUUUCGUUUCCGAGGCAUCUUGUGGAGGAUUGUGAGGUAGCUGCUUGUCAUCUCAGCGAACUUUCCUACUCCAGUUUAUGACUUUGUUUUUACUUGAAAGACAACUUCAUUUAGACUUCUAUUUUAUUCCAAUUCUAAUAUUUACAUUAGAGGCUUGUGCACGUGACAACCUGAUUUUGGGGAUUGGAUUAAUAUGACUUGGUUUCAUAAUAGGAAUUGUUGUUGGAUUGUCAUUUACUUCCGCACCUUGUUAGAUAUUUGGUUUUAAGCUGACUUGUCUUGGUGGGAUAAGACGAGUGCCAUCACACCCAUUUUUGGGUCGUGACAAAAUGGUAUCAGAGCCCCAGGUUCAUAGGUCUCACGUAUCUACAAGCCGAGUCUACGUAGAGUCUCAAGGGUCAGUACGGAGACGUCUGUACUAAUCUUUGAGAGGCUAUAAAGAUUACUAAGAAACUUCCUUUUGUUCAUUGUUUCUCAUCGUGCGUAGUUACCUUCGUUAGUACUGAGUUGUUGUAUACUCUUUUGACAGAUGACGAGGACUAGAACUAAUGUUACUGGUGGUAGAGGGGAGGCACUUCCCGAGGCAGUUGUUGAGGCCCUAGCUAGGGGUAAGGGUAGAUCUCGAGCUAGAGGUCGUGCUAGUAGUACGACAGUAGCCAGAGGUCGUGGACGUGGAGCAGCACCACUGAGAGGUAGUGCUAGAGAGGUCUCUACCGAACCUCAGAUUGAUGACAUAGAGGACCAGGUUCCUCCAGAUCCCGUAGUCACACCUUUGCUUCAGGAUACGCUAUUGAGGGUGUUAAGUGUGCUAGAGGGAUUUUCUCAGGGUGGUGGUGCAACUACCACACCACAUGACUCUCGUACUAGAGAGGGGGCUCAGACCCAAGAGCAGCAACAAGCUCCGGUUAAUCAGGAUGCGGUGGGGCAACUACCAGUAGAUCCCGCGGUUCAGAAUGAUAUUGCACCAGCAGUUGGGGGUCAAGUUGCAUCGAUGGUUGUUCUGACAGAGGAUGAGCAGCGUAGGUAUGAGAGAUUUCGAAAGAUGGACCCACCUCAGUUUCAGGGUGGGAAGAGCGAGGACGCUCAUGAGUUUCUAACUACCUGCCGAGAGUUACUAGAGGUGGUUGGAUUAGCUGAGUCACAUGGGGUUAGAUAUGCUACACUCCAGCUUCGUGGACCAGCGAGAGACUGGUGGAGGACUUAUUCGGGGGUUUUGCCAGUUGGAUCUCCUCCAGUGACUUGGGAGCAGUUUGCUAGUGCAUUCCAAGAUCGUUUUAUCCCAUGGAGCGUGAGAGAGGAGAGUCGCUUGAGGUUUGAGAGUUUAAGACAGGAUGGUUUAUCGGUUACAGAGUAUGAGGCGCGUUUUUGCUAAUUGUCUAGGCAUGCGUUGGCCAUUAUUCCGAAUGAGACAGAGAGGAUCCGCAGAUUUGUGAGGGGAUUGACUUUCUCUAUCAGGUCAGCUGUGUUUCGGGCAUCUAGGGAGGGGGCUUCUUUUCAGUCCAUUGUGAGCGCCGCCAAAGAGGCAGAAUUGAUGGAGAGAGAGGAGUUUGGGGACCCUAAAAGAGCCCGUAUAUCAGGACAGUUUCAUGGUGCCUCAUCUGGAGGUAGGGGAUCACAGAGAGUGAGUGGUUCUUUUCAGCAGCGGGGACCUAUUUAUGCAUCUAUGCCGACAUUUGAGGGUGGCCAGACAUCUAGGGGUUCUUAUAGCCCGGGUCAGAGCUCGUACGGUUCACAGCAGCGACCUACAGGGCGAGGAAAUUAUAGUGGGUUUUCAGGGUCCACACAACAGUUCCCAGGUCAGAGAUUUUGUUUUACUUGUGGAGAUCCCGAUCAUCUAAUGCGGCAGUGUACUUCACAAAGGGGUCGUGGUGGUCCUCGACCUAAUUCUUCAUUCCAGACUAGACCACCAGCACCACAGGGUAGAGGUCGUGGCAUAGUUCAGUCAGGUAGAGGUGAUAGAGUUUUUAGUAGUGGUGUUGCAGCUCAGCAGAGUGGGGGUAGAGGUACCACCCAGGAUGGAGGUGGACGAGGAGGCCACUGCUAUGCUUUCCCCGGGAGACCUGAGGCGGAGACCUCUGAUGCUGUUAUUACAGGUAUCAUCCCAGUAUGCCAUCGACCUGCGUCUGUGUUGUUUGAUCCAGGUUCUACAUUCUCUUAUGUGUCUACGUAUUUUGCUGCUAAAUUUGAUAUGAUAUGUGAUAGUAUGACUGUACCUAUUCGUGUUUCUACACCCGUGGGUAAACCCUUAGUGGUGGACCGAGUGUAUCGCUCCUGUCUUGUUUCUUUGGCUGGGUAUGACACUUGGGUAGACUUAAUCAUUCUGGGGAUGGUGGACUUUGAUGUUAUCUUGGGUAUGGAUUGGCUUUCUCCUUAUCAUGUUGUCCUUGAUUGUAAUGCUAAGACUGUGACUUUAGCUAUGCCUGGUGUUCCGAAGGUUGAGUGGAAGAGUGUUAGUGGUUCUUACCCUAGCAAGGUCAUCUCUUUUAUCCGUGCUCAGAGAUUGGUGGAGAGGGGGUGUUUGUCUUACUUAGCUUUUAUUCGGGAUACUAGCGUUGAACCACCUCCCAUGGAUUCUGUUCCCGUGGUUCAGGAGUUUCCCGAUGUAUUUCCUUCUGAUCUUCCAGUUGUUCCUCCCGAUAGGGAUAUCGAUUUCGCUAUUGAUUUGGAGCCGGGCACUAAGCCUAUUUCUAUCCCUCCAUACCGUAUGGCUCCAGCAGAGUUGAAAGUAUUGAAGGAUCAGUUGUAGGAUUUAUUGAGUAAGGGUUUUAUUCGCCCUAGUGUGUCACCUUGGGGUGCCCCUGUAUUGUUUGUGAAGAAGAAGGAUGGGACUAUGAGAAUGUAUAUUGAUUACAGACAGUUGAACAAAGUAACAGUUAAGAAUAAGUAUCCUCUUCCGCGUAUUGAUGACUUAUUUGAUCAGUUACAGGGAGCAUCAUUGUUCUCUAAGAUUGAUCUGAGGUCUGGGUAUCAUCAGUUGAAGAUUAGGGCAUCAGAUAUCCCUAAGACAGCUUUUCGGACCCGGUAUGGGCAUUAUGAGUUUCUAGUGAUGUCCUUCGGAUUGACUAAUUCCCCUGCAGCAUUCAUGGAGUUGAUGAAUGGGGUGUUUCGACCAUACCUUGAUUCUUUUGUGAUUGUUUUCAUCGAUGACAUCUUGGUUUACUCUAAGACUGAGGAGGACCAUGUCCGACACCUGAGGAUUGUACUUCAGAGAUUGAGAGAAGAGAAGUUGUAUGCCAAGUUCUCAAAGUGUGAGUUCUGGCUUACUUCUGUGACAUUCUUGGGAACGUGGUGUCCAAGGAGGGUAUUAGAGUAGAUCCGACCAAGAUAGAGGCAGUUAGAGGCUGGACGCGACCUACUUCACCUACUGAGAUUAGGAGUUUUGUGGGAUUGGCAGGCUAUUAUCGACGAUUUGUUCAGAGUUUCUCUACUAUUGCAGCUCCAUUGACUAGAUUGACUCGACAGGAUGUGAGUUUUCAGUGGUCUGAUGAGUGUGAGGAGAGCUUUCAAAAGCUCAAGACUUUGUUGAGUUCUGCUCCUGUGUUGACUCUACCUGAGGAAGGUGUAGACUUUACUGUGUAUUGUGAUGCUUCAGGAGUUGGUUUGGGUGGUGUGUUGAUGCAGAAGGGGAAAGUGAUUGCUUAUGCUUCUAGGCAGUUGAAAUCCCAUGAGAAGAACUACCCUACUCAUGAUUUGGAGUUGGCGGCUGUGGUAUUUGUACUUAAGUUAUGGCGUCAUUAUUUGUAUGGAGUGCAGUGUGAGAUCUUCACUGAUCAUCGGAGUCUUCAGUAUAUCUUUAGCCAGAGGGAUUUGAACUUGAGGCAACGAAGAUGGCUUGAGUUGCUGAAGGACUAUGAUGUGACCAUUCUGUAUCAUCUGGGGAAGGCCAAUGUUGUGGCCGAUGCUUUGAGUAGGAAGACUCAUAGCAUGGGGAGUCUUGCAUCUCUUAGUGUUAAGGAGAGACCAUUGGCUAGAGAUGUUCAAUUGUUAGCUAACAGUCUUGUCCGAUUACAGAUCUCAGAGGAGAGUGAUGGGAUGAUUGCUUUUAUUGAGGUUCGAUCUUCUUUAGUCGAGCAGAUUCGUGCACACCAGUUUGAUGACGAAAAAUUAUGUCUCAUUCGAGACAAAGUAUUGAGAGGGGAAGCUAAGGAGGCUGUCCUUGAUUCUGAUGGUGUCUUGAGGAUCGGAGGCAGGGUUUGUGUGCCCAAGACAGGCGAUUUGAUUAGAUUGAUCCUUGAGGAGGCCCAUUGUUCUCGAUAUUCUAUCCAUCCGGGAGCGGCGAAAAUGUAUCAUGAUCUGAGUCAGCAUUACUGGUGGUGUGGGAUGAAGAGAGAUAUUACAGACUUUGUUUUGAGGUGUUUGACUUGCCAGCAGGUCAAGUGUGAGCACCAGCGGCCUGGUGGUGUAUCUCAAAGGAUGCCUAUUCCUACUUGGAAGUGGGAGCGGAUUACUAUGGACUUUGUUGUGGGUUUGCCUACCACAGUGGGUGGUUAUGACUCUAUUUAGGUUGUUGUUGAUAGGCUGACCAAGUCUGCCCACUUCAUCCCGGUUCGGGUAAAGUAUACAGCAGAAAAGUUAGCCGAACUAUACAGUCAGAUUGUGCGACUAUAUGGAGUUCCUAUUUCUAUCAUAUCAGAUCGAGGUUCACUAUUUACUUCUCACUUCUGGAAGGCAUUACAACAUGGUCUGGGUACUCAGUUAGAUAUGAGUACGACAUUUCACCCUCAGACAGAUGGUCAAUCUGAGCGGACCAUUCAGGUAUUGGAAGAUAUGCUUCGAGCGUGUGUAAUCGAUUUUGGUGCAAGAUGGGAUCGACAUUUACCCUUAGCGGAGUUCGCCUAUAAUAACAGUUAUCACUCUAGUAUCCAAAUGGCCCCAUUUGAGGCAUUGUAUGGUAGACGGUGUAGAUCUCCUAUUGGUUGGUUUGAUUCGGACGAGAUGGACUCUUUGGAUACAGACUUGCUUAGAGAUGCUAUGGAGCAAGUCCGUAUGAUUCAGUAUAGAUUAUUGACAGCUCAGAGUCGACAGAAGAGUUAUGCAGAUCGGAGAGUUAGAGCCUUGGUGUUUAUGGAGGGUGAUCAUGUUUGGCUCCGAGUAUCACCCAUGAAGGGUGUAAUGAGGUUUGGAACGAAGGGCAAGCUUAGCCCUAGGUUCAUUGGACCUUUUGAGAUUUUGAGCCGAGUGGGAGAGGUGGCCUAUAAGUUGGCCUUGCCACCUAGUUUGUCGGCAGUUCAUCCUGUUUUCCAUGUCUCUAUGCUUCGGAAGUAUAUUCCGGAUGAAUCUCAUGUGAUUUCACUUGAUUCUGUGGAGUUGGGUCCAGACUUGACAUUUGAAGAGGAGCCUAUAGCUAUUUUGGAUAGGCAGGUUCGAAAGCUUAGAACCAAGGAGAUUGCUUCAGUGAAGGUGCAGUGGAAGCACCGAUCAGUGAGAGAGAUAACUUGGGAGACUAAGUCUGACAUGCGUGCCAGAUAUCCUCAACUUUUUGAAGCUUCAGGUACUUUCUUUUACUCUAUGUUCGAGGACGAACAUGGGUUUUAGUGGUGGAUAAUGUAAUGACCCAAAAGCUCCUCUUUAGUGUUUUGAAUAUUUGUUUAACUUAAGUGAAUUAACUAAUAAUUAAUGGACUAAAGUGUUAAUUUAUUUAAGACCUCAGAUUACUUGACCCAUACAAAUUAAAAUAAGUAGUGGGGUUUUGCACUUUUGAGGUAUAAUAUUAUUCUUCAAAGAAAAACUACCCUAAAGUGUGGGUCGUGCAGCAUCCAAAAAAAAAAAUAGGACUACCGUCGGCAAGCAUAAUCUCAAUCAUGUAAGUACCUGCUCAUAACAAAAUUUCGCAUUGCAAUAUACAUGAUUUAAAGCAAUGUCACAUGUAUAUUGAACACAAGUUGGAUAAUGGCUUUGUUUUUUUGUUAGCAUAUAUAGUUGACGGAACGGUAAUUUGUUAAUUGAUUUUAGAGUUGUGGAGAAACUAAACCUUAUCCAUUUUAUAAGUUAAUUAAUGUUUGAUGAGAAAAUCGGAGUGCACCGCCGACCGCCUAUAACACAGUUAUCGUUGGAGUUAUGGACAAUUAAGAGUUAUGGUCAAGAAUUGUAGGUAAAUUGGAAAAGACAAAAAUAGGAUGCUUAUUUGUGUGAUGCUGGCAAGGAUUGCCAUUAUAUAUAAAUAUAAUGUGAGGAUUAAAUGAAGUAAUGAUGAGGUAGUUAAUGAUUAAAUAAUAAUGAGUGAAAUAGAAGCAAAUAUGUAGAUAGUUUAGAUUCUAUUUGUUAUUCUGGAGCAAUUUGUCUAGUUUUAUUUUUAUUUUUAUUAUUUUUUUUGUUAGCAUAUAGUGAUUAAGGUUUUAAUAUAUAGAGAAAGGUAAUUAAAUAUUGGAAGUAUGAUAUUAUGUGGAUAUCAUUCGAAUUUAUAAUAUUGGAAAGUUAAAACUCAGUUCUAGGCUUGGAAUCGGAGAAUAUGAAACUUGACAUAUUAAUCGGAUCAAAACUUAUGAACAUGACUAUAGUUUUGGGUGAAUUUUUAAUUUAGGCUAGAUAUAUAGCAAUAUGGUUGUUGUAGUUUUGAAAGCUUAUUCUGACUAUGUACUUGAAUAGAUUCCAUUGAUUUGGAAGCUCAACGAAAAGGGAAGGCUCAAGUCCAAGAGUAAUUAUUCGAUUGGCUAAGGCAAGUGGAUUUCUAAACUCUUGUUAAGCGUAUGAAAUUCGUGUAUCUUCUUGUGUGGUGUUGAGAACGAUUUGGAGACUUGUUGCUUAUUUGUUAGCGUUGUAUUUCUUGUUGUAAAUUGUGUUUGGUUAUCAAAUGGUUAUCUCCUCCCUUUUCAUUUGAGCAUGUCAUUUGCAUUGUAUCUGAGACAUUGUUGUGGUAAGAGGAUGGUGUACUAUUUUCGAGGGUCGUAUCGCGCGCCGCGACGGAUAUUAUAUUUCAAGGGACGUAUCAUGCGCCGCGAAGGUUACUACUUAUCGAGGGUCGUGUCGUGCGCCGCGACAGAUGCAUGGACAGAUAUGUCCCCCAUGGAUCCCGGACUGAGAGACAGCGGGUGUGUAUCGUUAGGAAAGACAUGCAUCACGAUAUUUGACAUUGCAUCUCAUGGCAUUGCACAUUUUAUUAUUGAUGAACUUGAACAUGUGUUUUGCUGAUCUUGUGAUUGUUUCUCUGUGAAGUCUGUGAUUGUUGAAUAUUGAGUUGUUAUCGAGAAUGUGUAAACUGAUAGAGUGUGGUUAUUGAGUUGUGUGUUUGGUAAACUGUAACCUAUUAGACUGUAGCGUGGAGGUUUAGAUAUGGUGUAAGGAGU
Molecule: long non-coding RNA, 7717 nt
Filed under: Solanum lycopersicum (tomato)
Lineage: Eukaryota; Viridiplantae; Streptophyta; Magnoliopsida; Solanales; Solanaceae
Description: long non-coding RNA (SLYC_LNC000887)
Source: RNAcentral